AUACGGAGGGUGCAAGCGUUGUUCGGAUUUAUUGGGCGUAAAGCGAGUGUAGGCGGUUUGACAAGUCGAAUGUGAAAUCCCGAGGCCCAACCUCGGAACUGCAUCCGAAACUGUCAGGCUAGAGUCCCGGAGAGGGUGGCGGAAUUCCCGGUGUAGGGGUGAAAUCCGUAGAUAUCGGGAGGAACACCAGUGGCGAAGGCGGCCACCUGGACGGUGACUGACGCUGAGACUCGAAAGUGUGGGGAGCGAACAGGAUUAGAAACCCUAGUAGUCC
This 274-nucleotide ribosomal RNA is filed under the name uncultured bacterium. RNAcentral describes it as "partial 16S ribosomal RNA". It matches the Rfam family "Bacterial small subunit ribosomal RNA", at positions 523 to 796 of the family's 1533-position model. The record is from RNAcentral.